AAAAAAAAGCAAAACACGGUAGCCUUACUCUUUAUUCUCCAACAUUGCAAAUACCAUUUCUCACCAAAACCAGGCUAUGAAUUAACGCUCAAAACGUCCCCCAAAAGUCAGCCCUUAAGCUCCUCAAAAUUCCACCUGAAACUAACGUGAAAAUAGGCCAAGACGCGGCUAAAAAUCAGUUGGGAACUCAGCUGAAAUCUGACAUUGAAAUGCACCAAAAUCAGCCGCGAAACAGCUCGAAACCAACUGUUUUCAUCCAUAAAUCUAGCAAGGUCCGACUCUAACGGCUUGAUUUUGGUCGAGUUAGAAGAGGUCGAUGUUUGAGGUUUGGUUGAGUGCUCGAUGCUCCGGCCUUCGUUGAUUUCCAUUUCCAAAACCGAAAUUGCCGGCUUUUCUGUAUGUAGCAAAAGGUUAGAAUUUAUCAAUAAAGCUCUUUUUUCUUCUAUUAAUUCAUUCUUGCUUGAGUAGUUAAUAUUGUGCUCUUCGAUAAUUUUGCAGAUUUGUUUGGUUUGCUCUGUUUUCUUUGGUUUUACUUACUGAUUUUCAGUUUUCCUUUACUAGCUUACAACUGCAAUUUAAUGGUAGUAGUUAUGCUUUAGAUUCCAUUUGUGUGUUUGCUAUUAUCUGUUAAUUAGGUUAGUUGGACAAGGUUUCAUUGUAAUUUAAUGCGGUUUAAAAUUCAGGUAGGUUGGUUCGAUGUUCGAUGAGUGGGUCAACGUGUAUAGUCUUGUAAAAUGGAAGUGUGUCGUUGGUUUAAUUUAAAGUUAGGUCAUUUGGGUUACUGGGACAAGACUAAAAUCAGAUUUUACCUUAAUUUUAUUUGCUUGGUUUUGAAAGUAUAUGGGACAAAACUUUGUCGAACCCAUUUCCCUAACAAAUCAUAAUUUGGUGUAUCUACUUGCAUACCAAAUCAAAUUAACAAAUAUUAGUAAGUUAUAAGCAUGAUAGUAGUAAAAUCAACCAUGUAAAUAAUUUUACUGAUCAAUUCUAUCACAUGAUCCACAAAUGAACCCAUAACUCAUGGCCCUCAUAAAUUAAAUUAAGAGCUAACACUUGUAAUUGCUAUAGUUAAAUAUAUUUCCUUUAAAAAGAAAAUGGGUUGAAGUGUGUCAUCCAUAAAUUAGAUCAUCCAUAGCCCUCACAAAUAUUGUAACUGAGAUACUAAAAUGAAUCUUCGUAGUUGCUUUAGGCGCGCUACAUUAAAUUAUCAUGACUACGAGUACGGCUCCCGUGACGUAGUUGUGAUUGCUAAAAUCCGGGUGUACAUUUUAUGUGACCCGACUUCAAUUUCCAACAAUGUUAAAUAAAACGUGUCGCGAACGGCGGGUGCAUUUCAUGUAGCGUGGUUUAAGAUGUAUUUUAAAUAACAUUGAAUUUUUCUGAAAAACAGUAAAAGUGGGUAAAAAGUCGUAAAAGUGCAUAUAGGUUUAAAAUGCAUAAUUAAUCAGAUAAUAGGCCAAUAUUAACAGUUUAAGCGACCGUGCUAGAACCACGGAACCCGAGAAUGCCUAACACCUUCUCCCGGGUUAACAGAAUUCCUUAUCUAGAAUUUCUGGUUCGUGGACUUUAAAAAAUAAAAAUUUCCUCUAUUUGAGAUUUUAAAAUAAACCGGUGACUUAAAACACCAAAUAAACUAUUCCAAGUGGCGACUCUGAUAAAUUAAAUAAUCUCAUUUCGAUUUAUGUCACUUUAAUUGGAAAAACUCUCAUAUACUCUCUCGAUGUAUAAAAAGAAGGUGUGGCGGUGGAUAUCAUAGAGGACUAUAAAGUAUGUUUUGGUGGAAUGAAUUUGUCAUGUAUAAUACUCCAUCAGUAUAUGAUAUACCAGAUUGGUAUCAUAGUGGUCUAAGUAUUUUCCUCGAAGGAAUGAACUAGACCUUAAUGAUACCUUGUCAAUAUAUGAUAUAUACUAUAUGGGAAUUACAGAGGUCUGUGUGUCUUUUUGAAAGUAAUGCACCAAACAUCUAUGAUACUCUAUUAGUAUAUGAUAUAUAUCAUGUGGGUAUCAAAGAGGACAUGAGUAUUAUUUUUUCUGAAGAAAUGAACCAGUCCUCUAUUAUACCCUCUUAGUAUAUGAUAUAAAUCAUGUGGGUAUGAUAGUAUACUGCAAUGAUAUACUUCAACUACUAUAAAUAUAUUAUUUUUGGUACACUAUAUGAUAGAAUAAGUUAUUCUCUGCUAACUAAUAUUUAAAAAAAGAUAUAUGAUAGCAAUUAUCAAUUUUAUUGAUAUAGUAAAAAGGAAAGAGAGAGAAAAAAAUAAAAAAGAACAAAAACAAAGGAGCAAAAAGGUGUGAGAAAUUAGAUUAUGAAAAAAAUAUAAAAUAAAAAAAUGAUUUCGAAUAAUAAUAAAUGAAAUUAGAAAAGCAAAGAAAUAAAAGCAAAAAAGAGAAGAUAAAACAAUUAUAAUAUAUAAGUCGUUCUAAUAAUUGAAUUGAAAAACAAAUGAGAAAAAAAAACAAAAUAUAUAUUAUACCAAUUAUAUUAAAAAAAGAUGAACAAACAUUUACUAUAUUAGUUAUCUCUUCUUAUUACAUAACAAAGAAUAAUAAUAAAAUAGAGUAAAAAAAAAGUAGAUAAAAUUGGAUUUUGAAAAAGAAAAUAAAAGGAAAAAGGAGUUAAAUAAAAUUAAAAAAGGAACAAGAAAUAAAAAAAGGAAAAAAAGGAACCAUUUAGUGUGAAAUUAAUAAUAAUAAUAAUGGGUAAUUACUUCUCUCUAACUUUCUCUCUCUAAAAUCAUCGAGGAUUGCCGCACAUCAAUGGUAAGCUAGCAUGCGCCUCUGCCAGCAUGGGUAGAGGGAGACCAAAGAGAGUGAUUCAGAUCACAAAUUCAAGCAAGGAACCGACAAGUUUGACAAAAGUUGAUGGAAAGGAACAAUUGAGGGGAAUUGAGGACAUGCAAAACUUGCAGAGCUCAAUGGAACAGUUGCAGAGCUCAAACGUGAUAUGGCCGCCUUUGCAUGGAGCGAUUUCAGCUAGAUCACCUUCAAUUGACGAAGGCGAACAUAGACAAACUCUAAAGACAUCGGUGAAGAGUCCAAAUGCAGAGAGAAUUGAGGUUGAAAAGGAGAUUCAUAGGAAAUAGACAAAGCAUAGGGAAGUAAUGAAGCCAAUUACGGAGCAGGAAGUUCAGAUUCAUAAACACUUGGAUGAGGAGUAGCAGAAAAAUAAAAAGGAAUGGGUGAACUUAUUCGCUGGGAGCAAUUUAGCGGCUAGAGGUAUGAACCUCAAAUUUAUUUCUCCUAUGCUAAAAAAUAGAGAAAAAAUAGUUGAACUAGAUAAUGCUGAGAUUGAUCGUGAAACAGUGAAAUGGAACAUGCAAUUAUGUUGUAUGUUGUUGGAGAUUCCCCUUCAAUAGGUGUUUUGGAUCGUUUCAUUACUGCACAAUAAAAUUUUGUCAGUAAACCAAAAAUUAACUUCCAUAAUGAUGCAUAUUUUGUGGUGAAACUCAAUAGUGUGGAAGAUAGGGAUGUUGUGUUGAUGUCAUGGCCACAUACUAUAAGAAAUAAACCUAUAAUUGUCAAAGCAUGAUCGCCUUAUUUUGAUUUUGAUAAGGAAGUACUGCAGACAAUUCCUAUAUGGGUUAAGCUGCCUAAUUUGCCAUUAAACUGCUGGAGUAUGAAUUCACUCAGUAGGAUUGGGAGUGGCUUAGGAGUCCCACUAUAUGCAGAUGAAUGUACAUCUAAAAUUGAGAUGAUUUCUUAUGCAAGGCUACUAGUAGAAAUGGAUGUUACAAAGGAUAUGCCUAGAGUCAUAAAAGUUAUGGAUCCGAUGGGCAAAGUCUUUGAGCAACAUGUUGCUUAUGAUUGGAUACCUGAAUAUUGCCACACUUGUCUUCAAGUUGGCCAUAGUUGCAGGACAACACAGACAGUACCUGAGGGCAAACAGAAGCAGUUAAAACCAAGGAUGGAAUGGAGAAGAAGAACAGAACCAAACAAGGUAGAAAAAGGUGAAAAUGAACAAACUAAGAGUAUGAUAUAGACUACAAGGGCAGUUGAUGAGGCUGAGAAAAUAAUUUAAUGAGAUCUAGCUAAGAGGAAAUUUGUAGCAAAAAGUAGACAGUCUAACAUAAUAGGAGAUCCUCGCAUUAAUGUUGUGAAUGAUUUUAGACCACUUAGCUAUGAGAUAGCUGAUAUAACAGUAGAGAAAGGCCAAUGUAGCUACCAAAGUGAUACUGGGGACCCAAAACCAAAGCAACCAAAUAAAUGAGAAUUAUAUCUUGGAAUGUGAGGGGUGUAAAUAAAGUUUAUAAGCAAAAAGAAGUAAAGAAGUUCAUUAUAAAUAAUAAUGUAGGACUAAUAGCUAUACUAGAGAAUAGAGUAAAGGAAGAGAAUGCUAGUAGAGUGAUAAAUAAGAUUGCAGCAAAUUAGAGAUGGUGUGCAAACUAUCACAUAGCUCUAACGGGAGAAUAUGGAUUAUUUGGGAUCCAAACAGAGUGGAAUUUGAAGUAACAAGCAUGAGUGCUCAGGCCAUUCAUGGUAUAAUUAGUAUCUCUCAGUUGCAACUAAAACUUAAUUUGACAACAGUUUAUGGAAUACAUACUAUUGAGACAAGGAAGGACCUAUGAGAGGAAUUGAAAAGUGCCAAUAAUUCUGUUCAAAGACCAUCUAUUGGAGAUUUUAAUGCUAUAACUGACAUAGAUGACAGAUAGUUUGGUAAUCCAGUUCAGGAGAAUGAGAUCAAGGACUUCAAUGAUUUUUUGCAAGUUAGUGGCAUGACUGAACUACCUGCAAUGGGUAGAAGAUUCACAUGGUCAAAUGGGCAAAUUUGUAGCAGGAUAGAUAGAGCUCUAGUAAAUGCUAAAUGGUUACUUACAGUAGCUGUUACAAAGGUGGUGAUUUUAAACCCUGGGAUUUCAGAUCAUACCCCCUAAGUAUUCAAUUCAAGGAAACUGUGAAAAGGAGUCCAAAGCCUUUCAGAUUCCUUAACUGUCUAGCGGAGCACAAAAACUUUCUAAAUAUGGUGGAAAAUGUUUGGUGUAGGCCAACUGAAAAGAAUCACAUGGCAAACAUAUGGUAGAAACUAAAAGUAUUGAAGAAAUAUUUGAAACAACUGAACCAAAAAGAAUUCAGAAAUGUAGGGGAGAAGAUUGAGUUCUAUCGACAGAAGUUGUAAGAUAUUCAAACAAAAAUGGGAAGCCACACUCAAUCAAAUGUGUUGUUUGCAUAAUAAAAGGAAGUGAAGCUUGAAUUAGAGAAAUGGAACCCAGUGGAGGAAAGUAUUCUUAAACAAAAAUCAAGAAACAAAUAGUUGGAACUAGGAGAUGAUAAUACUGCCUAUUUUUUUGCUAGUUUGAAGAAUAGACAUGCUCAAAACAGGAUCAAAAGCCUUAUUAAUACCAAUGGUGAUAUCCUUCAACAGCUAGAAGACAUAGUAGAGAAGGUGACUAGUUUUUAUAAAAAGCUCCUAGGCAGUGCUGUUGAUCAACUACCAGCAGUAAAUCCUGAGAUCAUGAAGCGUGGAAAUGUACUUACUAGAUAGCACCUAUUACAAUUGAUAGCACAGGUAACUCAUGAUGAAGUAUAUCAAGCCCUUAUGAGUAUAGAUGACCACAAAGCUCCUAGUUGUGAUGGGUUUAAUGCACCCUUCUUAAAAAAAGCUUGGACUGUGAUUGGUAGAGAUGUUACAGUUGUUGUGCUUCAGUUCUUCACAGAUGGGGAUAUAUACAAAGCUAUAAUCUGCACAACAAUAACACUGAUUCCAAAAAUCAAGAACCCAACAAAGAUAUUUGAAUUUAGACUUAUAGCUUGUUGUACUAUGUUGUAUAAACUGAUCUCCAAAAUCCUUACUAAUCAUAUGCAGGGCGUUAUGGACAGUCUUGUGGAUAAAAGCCAAUCUGCUUUUGUCCAGGAAGGUUAAUCAUUGAUAAUAUUAUAUUGAGCCAUGAACUGAUGAAGGGGUAUGGAAGCAAGGGUAUCACUCCUAGAUGUAUGUUAAAAAUAGACAUGAGGAAAACCUAC
RNAcentral lists this long non-coding RNA (5958 nucleotides) under Nicotiana tabacum (common tobacco). RNAcentral's name for it is "long non-coding RNA (NTAB_LNC013660)". Lineage: Eukaryota; Viridiplantae; Streptophyta; Magnoliopsida; Solanales; Solanaceae. The record is from RNAcentral.